AACAUAAAAAGGCAAACUUAUGGUAACAUAAGGGCGCAAAGCAAAGUAUCCUAACAUUUUAGGACGGUCUAGCUGCUAUG
Molecule: non-coding RNA, 80 nt
Filed under: Proteiniborus ethanoligenes
Lineage: Bacteria; Bacillati; Bacillota; Clostridia; Eubacteriales
Description: c-di-GMP-I riboswitch aptamer
Rfam family: c-di-GMP-I riboswitch aptamer
About the family: GEMM was predicted in a large-scale screen for bacterial structured RNA regulatory elements.
Source: Rfam by way of RNAcentral